This 574-nucleotide ribosomal RNA is filed under the name uncultured bacterium. Its description in RNAcentral is "bacterial SSU rRNA". It matches the Rfam family "Bacterial small subunit ribosomal RNA", at positions 45 to 656 of the family's 1533-position model. The record is from RNAcentral.
AGCUUACACAUGCCAGUCGAACGGUGAAGUGGUUUCGGCCUCUUCAUAGUGGCGAACGGGUGCGUAACACGUGGGAACAUACCCAUAGGUGGGGAAUAACUACGGGAAACUGUAGCUAAUGCCCCAUAUGCUCUACGGAGUAAAGAUUUAUUGCCUAUGGAUUGGCCCGCGGUCGAUUAGAUAGUUGGUAGGGUAAAAGCCUACCAAGUCUAUGAUCGAUAGCUGGUUUGAGAGAAUGAUCAGCCACAUUGGGACUGAGAUACGGCCCAAACUCCUACGGGAGGCAGCAGUGAGGAAUAUUGGACAAUGGAGGAAACUCUGAUCCAGCCAUGCCGCGUGAGUGAUGAAGGCUUUCGAGUUGUAAAGCUCUUUUAGCGGGGAAGAUAAUGACGGUACCCGCAGAAAAAGCCCCGGCUAACUCCGUGCCAGCAGCCGCGGUAAGACGGAGGGGGCUAGUGUUGUUCGGAAUUAUUGGGCGUAAAGGGUGCGUAGGUGGUUUAUUAGGUUGAGUGUGAAAUCUUGGAGCUUAACUCCAAAACUGCGCUCANAACCAAUGUACUAGAGUGCAAGAGAG